RNAcentral lists this ribosomal RNA (505 nucleotides) under uncultured bacterium. RNAcentral's name for it is "partial 16S ribosomal RNA". It matches the Rfam family "Bacterial small subunit ribosomal RNA", at positions 28 to 507 of the family's 1533-position model. The record is from RNAcentral.
GACGAACGCUGGCGGCGUGCCUAAUACAUGCAAGUAGAACGCACAGUUUAUACCGUAGCUUGCUACACCAUAGACUGUGAGUUGCGAACGGGUGAGUAACGCGUAGGUAACCUGCCUGGUAGCGGGGGAUAACUAUUGGAACCGAUAGCUAAUACCGCAUAAUAUUGAUUAUUGCAUGAUAAUUGAUUGAAAGAUGCUAUUGCAUCACUACCAGAUGGACCUGCGUUGUAUUAGCUAGUAGGUGAGGUAACGGAUCAACUAGGGGACGAUACAUAGCCGACCCGGGAGGGUGAUCGGCACCACUGGGACUGAGACACGGCCCAGACUCCUACGGGAGGCAGCAGUAGGGAAUCUUCGGCAAUGGACGAAAGUCUGACCGAGCAACGCCGCGUGAGUGAAGAAGGGUUUCGGAUCGUAAAGCUCUGUUGUAAGAGAAGAACGGGUGUGAGAGUGGAAAGUUCACACUGUGACGGUAUCUUACCAGAAAGGGACGGCUAACUACGUG